Molecule: ribosomal RNA, 359 nt
Filed under: uncultured bacterium
Lineage: Bacteria
Description: bacterial SSU rRNA
Rfam family: Bacterial small subunit ribosomal RNA
Source: RNAcentral
CUAGCGACUUCAGAGUUUGAUCCUGGCUCAGGACGAACGCUGGCGGCGUGCCUAACACAUGCAAGUCGAACGGAGUGGCAAAGACAGAUUCCUUCGGGAUGAAGAUUUUGUUUACUUAGUGGCGGACGGGUGAGUAACGCGUGAGCAACCUGCCUUACAGAGGGGGACAACAUUGGGAAACCGAUGCUAAUACCGCAUAACAUAUAUUUAUCGCAAGGUAGAUAUAUCAAAGGAGCAAUCCGCUGUAAGAUGGGCUCGCGUCUGAUUAGAUAGUUGGUGAGGUAACGGCUCACCAAGUCGACGAUCAGUAGCCGGACUGAGAGGUCGAACGGCCACAUUGGGACUGAGACACGGCCCAG